RNAcentral lists this ribosomal RNA (497 nucleotides) under uncultured bacterium. RNAcentral's name for it is "partial 16S ribosomal RNA". It matches the Rfam family "Bacterial small subunit ribosomal RNA", at positions 28 to 507 of the family's 1533-position model. The record is from RNAcentral.
GAUGAACGCUGGCGGCGUGCCUAAUACAUGCAAGUCGAGCGAACAGACGAGGAGCUUGCUCCUCUGACGUUAGCGGCGGACGGGUGAGUAACACGUGGAUAACCUACCUAUAAGACUGGGAUAACUUCGGGAAACCGGAGCUAAUACCGGAUAAUAUAUUGAACCGCAUGGUUCAAUAGUGAAAGACGGUUUUGCUGUCACUUAUAGAUGGAUCCGCGCCGCAUUAGCUAGUUGGUAAGGUAACGGCUUACCAAGGCGACGAUGCGUAGCCGACCUGAGAGGGUGAUCGGGCAAAACGGAACUGAGAAACGGGCCCGACUCCUAAGGGAGGCAGCAGUAGGGAAUCUUCCGCAAUGGGCGAAAGCCUGACGGAGCAACGCCGCGUGAGUGAUGAAGGUCUUCGGAUCGUAAAACUCUGUUAUUAGGGAAGAACAAAUGUGUAAGUAACUAUGCACGUCUUGACGGUACCUAAUCAGAAAGCCACGGCUAACUACGUG